Molecule: ribosomal RNA, 223 nt
Filed under: uncultured bacterium
Lineage: Bacteria
Description: partial 16S ribosomal RNA
Rfam family: Bacterial small subunit ribosomal RNA
Source: RNAcentral
ACGCUCGACACCUACGGGAGGCAGCAGUAGGGAAUCUUCCACAAUGGGCGCAAGCCUGAUGGAGCAACACUGCGUGAGUGAAGAAGGGUUUCGGCUCGUAAAGCUCUGUUGUUGGAGAAGAACGUGCGUGAGAGUAACUGUUCACGCAGUGACGGUAUCCAACCAGAAAGUCACGGCUAACUACGUGCAAGCAGCCGCGGUAAUCUGAGCGGGCUGGCAAGGC